AACGUAGGAGGCGAGCGUUAUCCGGAUUCACUGGGCGUAAAGCGCGCGUAGGCGGUCGGGUAAGUCGGAUGUGAAAGCCCCUGGCUCAACUGGGGGAGGCCAUUCGAUACUGCUCGGCUUGAGGGUGAGAGGGGAGAGUGGAAUUCCCGGUGUAGCAGUGGAAUGCGUAGAGAUCGGGAGGAACACCAGUGGCGAAGGCGGCUCUCUGGCUCACUCCUGACGCUGAGUGCGCGAAAGCGUGGGGAGCAAACGGG
This 254-nucleotide ribosomal RNA is filed under the name uncultured bacterium. RNAcentral describes it as "partial 16S ribosomal RNA". It matches the Rfam family "Bacterial small subunit ribosomal RNA", at positions 524 to 776 of the family's 1533-position model. The record is from RNAcentral.